Molecule: ribosomal RNA, 323 nt
Filed under: uncultured eukaryote
Lineage: Eukaryota
Description: partial 18S ribosomal RNA
Rfam family: Eukaryotic small subunit ribosomal RNA
Source: RNAcentral
CCCUUAGAUGUUCUGGGCCGCACGCGUGCUACACUGAGUAAUUCAAUGGGUAAGGGAACGCUAGAGCAUUACCUAAUCUUGAAAUUUGCUCGUGAUGGGGGUCGACGGUUGCAAUUUUCCGUCGUGAACGAGGAAUACCUUGUAGGCGCAUGUCAUCAUCAUGCGCCGAAUACGUCCCAGCCCUUUGUACACACCGCUCGUCGCUCCUACCGAUUGAGUGAUCCGGUGAGGCUCUAGGGACCUGGACGGAAAGAGCGUUUCGCUUGUUCUGUUUGGGAAACUUGGUCGAACCUUAUCAUUUAGAGGAAGGAGAAGUCGUAACA